GGUGGGGUGGUGUGGAACUGCUAAUCCCGUUGGGCAUAGCCCAACUCGGGUUCAAAUCCCGACCCCCGCG
RNAcentral lists this transfer RNA (70 nucleotides) under Methanocaldococcus vulcanius M7. Its description in RNAcentral is "tRNA-Ser (GCT) (tRNA-Ser-GCT-2-1)". Lineage: Archaea; Methanobacteriati; Methanobacteriota; Methanococci; Methanococcales; Methanocaldococcaceae. The record is from RNAcentral.